UGUUUGGAUUUCACUAUACUUUUUUAGACUGAUUUUAUUGAUAUUUUGUAUGUAAAUAUAUAAGAUAUAUUCUUGUACAUGGAGUGAGUCUGUUAACGUAAUUCAGACUUUCACUGUAAUACGGGGCGUGACAACUACGUGCUGGAAUAAACACUAAACGAAGUGUUAGUUUAAUCAUUAAUGUGGGUUUAGGUGGUAGACUUGUUGAG
Molecule: long non-coding RNA, 209 nt
Filed under: Ananas comosus (pineapple)
Lineage: Eukaryota; Viridiplantae; Streptophyta; Magnoliopsida; Poales; Bromeliaceae
Description: long non-coding RNA (ACOM_LNC018276)
Source: RNAcentral